GAUGAAUGCUGGCGGCGUGCCUAAUACAUGCAAGUCGAGCGGUAAGGCCCUUCGGGGUACACGAGCGGCGGACGGCUGAGUAACGCGUGGGAACAUGCCCCAAAGUGAGGGAUAACGCACCGAAAGGUGUGCUAAUACCGCAUAUGGUCUUCGGAUUAAAGGAUUUAUCCGCUUUGGGAGUGGCCCGCGUACGAUUAGAUUGUUGGUGAGGUAACGGCUCACCAAGUCGACGAUCGUUAACUGGUCUGAGAGGAUGAUCAGUCAGACUGGAACUGGGACACGGUCCAGACUCCUACGGGAGGCAGCAGUAAGGAAUCUUCCACAAUGGGCGAAAGCCUGAUGGAGCAACGCCGCGUGCAGGAUGAAGGCCCUCGGGUCGUAAACUGCUUUUAUGAGUGAAGAAUAUGACGGUAACUCAUGAAUAAGCACCGGCUAACUACGUGCCAGCAGCCGCCGUAAC
RNAcentral lists this ribosomal RNA (460 nucleotides) under uncultured bacterium. RNAcentral's name for it is "bacterial SSU rRNA". It matches the Rfam family "Bacterial small subunit ribosomal RNA", at positions 28 to 524 of the family's 1533-position model. The record is from RNAcentral.